This is a non-coding RNA of Linepithema humile (Argentine ant), 508 nucleotides long. The record is from RefSeq and is a predicted model, not a curated record. Lineage: Eukaryota; Metazoa; Arthropoda; Insecta; Hymenoptera; Formicidae.
UUGAAGUGCAUAGUGAUAAUAAAUUUAAAGUUCUCAAUAUUCAUCGAUUCUUCAAUGAACCUGACGUGGAACAUUAUAAAAAUGCUGAAAAAAAACAUACUUAGAGUAUAUCAAUCAACAAGCUAAUGUAGAACAUUCUAGGAUGAAAAAUGGAGCAAGUGGAACAACUUUCAAUAUUCUAGCUGGUAUAGCUGAAACUGUGCUUAGCUAGGAUACAACAAUUGUUAUAUUUCUUGGGGUUUAUACAUCGUGAUAUGGCAGAUUUGCGACGUAACCCUACUGAUUUUUGAAAGUAAAUCGCAGAGAUUGACUUUCAUUCAAAAGUGUGUGUAACUAACAAUAAGUGCAAAUUUUCGGUAUUUUUUAAUGAUGCCAAGCAACUGAUGCGAAGUAGCAAAAUCUGCAACAGGUGAUGCAAAUUGCAACACCAAUACAAGCUAGUGAGUACAAUUACUUAUUUAUUAUUUAAAUAUAUAAUAUAUAUGAUUUUAUAUGCUACACAACUACA